Equus caballus (horse) is the source of this 2272-nucleotide long non-coding RNA. RefSeq lists it as uncharacterized. The record is from RefSeq and is a predicted model, not a curated record. NCBI's taxonomy places the organism in Eukaryota, Metazoa, Chordata, Mammalia, Perissodactyla, Equidae.
GUGUCCGCGGCUGGCCGCCGAGGGGCGCCCGCGGCUCAGUCUGGGGUUUCUGGGCUGGGGUGCUGCGGAGCGCCUGGAGGGUGGCCGUGGAUGCUGAGACCGAGGGCGUUUCUUUCCGAGGGUUGAUUUUGAAGUUUGCUGCGGAGACUUCUCCCCAUUAGGCCAAGCCUGUUUCUUUCUUUUUCGGAGCGGGUACCGGCGAGUUGCAACCAUUCUAGCCUUGUGCUCGCCGAGUGAAACAGAUCUUUUAAAUAUGCAGAUUAGCGCCACGGCGACGCUAAUCAACAAUCCCUGCUUUGAAUUGCCCUUUAUGCUUUUCCAGCAGCUUUGGCCUAGAGCUAUGCCCCACAGCACCAUAAAGAAGAUUAAGAAGGCAUUAUCCCAAUUUUAGUGAACAAAGUCUAAGUUCAGUGGGGUGCGAGAGUGACAGUGGAUGAAAGCCUCCUUUGCGCUCCCUUAACAUUUAGGAUCUUAGCUGCCCUCGUAGGUCCUGCCACAGGACACACGGGCUUGUGCACCUGGCCCGCUGUCUCUGGCUAGAUUAUAGGUUCCUUGAGGGCAGGGAUUGUGUCUUCCCUUCAGGUGCUCGGUCAAAACAGACUGAAGUGCGGUGCGACCAGAACCAGGGUCCAGACUUUGCGUCUCCCGGUUUACGCGCCUCACGUUGUCGGCAGCCUUCCCUGUUCUGCACCUUGGGGCAUUACUAAUUUAGCCGCUGAAGUCAUGUUAUUUGCAGAAGAGAAAGUUGGAGUCCGCUUAAUUACAACCUUCAUUGCAGCAUGUGGGACGCCGCCUCAGCAUGGUUUGAUGAGCAGUGCCAUGUCAGCGCCCAGGAUUCGAACCAAGGAAACACUGGGCUGCCUGCAGCGGAGCACGAGAAGUUAACCACUUGGCCACGGGGCCAGCCCCAGGAGACCUGUGAUUUUUAUGACUCAAUAUCCAAGGUUACCAUGGAGUACAUAGCUGUAUACUUUAGCCGUGGACCCUUCCAGUUGGGACACGUGGGACGCCGCCCCAGUAUGGCCCGAUGAGAGGUGCCAUGUCCGUGCCCAGGAUCUGAACCGGUGAAACCCUGGGCCGCUGAAGCGGAGCAUGUGAACUCAACCACCCGGCCACAGGGCCAGCCUCCUGAGCUGUUGCUGUUUUAAAUAGCAGAUUCCAUGAAUGUGUUCUUGCCUGCUUGUGGACUUGGAUUAUCAACAUGACAGAAGGUGAGGGGAGGGUAAGCUUAAAGUUAUGUGGUAUUGAGUAAUAACCAAAUGAAUGUUUAUCAGAAGAAGAGAUAAGGGACUCCGAAAUGAGACCUCAAUAGAUAUUUACAAUGCAGAUUUCAUAAACCAUUACUGAGUGCUUCCCAUGUCCCAGGCCCUGGCCUUUCUCAUUGCAUACAAUCUUCAGGUCAGCCCUUGAGUUCAGCUCCAUUUUAGAGGAGGAAGUUGAAGUUUAGAGAAGUUGAGAGAUUGCCCAAGAUCACAAAGCUUGUAAAUUGCAAAGACAGAAUUCAAAUAAUCCCAAGUCUAUUUCUUCAUUAUAGUAAACGAAUUAGAAGCCAGUGAUUCAACUUACACACACACCACAUUUAUUUCAUGGAGAACCUUUCAGGAAUGUAGACCAAUGGUCAGAAAUUGUGAAACUUUAAAUUGGGCCAGUUCAUUUUGCAGUUGUAGAUUGACGCGAGAUAAAAAAAAAAAAAACUCCUCCCACAGCCAUCCACAUCUCCCUCUGCCUGGGUUGCUGUUUGUUGGUGAGAGCACUACUCCAAAGAUAGAAGAGACCCUUUCUUUCACAAUUAGAGCCCUUUUUAUACCAGGUUAGCUCCAGAGGAGCCAGGCAACUCUUAAAAUCUUUGACUUCAGUUCAUUUAUAACACAAGAGUGGAAGUUGCUGGAAAAAUUUUUUGUUUUUGAUUUUUCUUCUUCCUUUGUGUCUUAAACAGAGACUAGAGGUCAUCCUUCAGGACAGUUGAUCCCAGUAUGAUUUUGGUGAGCUUGGGGGGAAAAGGAAAGGAGACUAUGUCCUUAAUUCAUAAGAGGGUUACUUAAAACUUUCCCCUCAUUUUCAGUAGGGAAAACCAGGAUCGGUGCCUUCAGAGAACAAAAGGAUAUUUGCUUGGGGUUCUUCAAGGGAGUUCAGUAAAGGGAUCAAAGAGGAGUCAUGAAAAAAUAAUUGAGUUGAAAGGCAGUUGGAAGUGACCUAAAGAUCAUUUUGUGAUUAUAUGUUUUUACAGCUUUAUUGAAGUAUAAUUGACAUACAAUAAAAUGCCUAUAAAGUA